RNAcentral lists this ribosomal RNA (392 nucleotides) under uncultured bacterium. Its description in RNAcentral is "partial 16S ribosomal RNA". It matches the Rfam family "Bacterial small subunit ribosomal RNA", at positions 523 to 918 of the family's 1533-position model. The record is from RNAcentral.
ACACGUAGGGGCCUGACGUUGUUCGGAAUCAUUGGGCGUAAAGGGCGCGCAGGCGGCCGUCCAAGUCCGGUGUUAAAUGGUCGGGCUCAACCCGAUCAUGCGCUGGAAACUGGGCGGCUGGAGUCCCGGAGGGGAUGCCGGAAUUCCAGGUGUAGGGGUGAAAUCUGUAGAUAUCUGGAAGAACACCGAUGGCGAAGGCAGGCAUCUGGCCGGAGACUGACGCUGAGGCGCGAAGGCGCGGGGAGCGAACAGGUAUAGAUACCCUGGUAGUCCGCGCAGUAAACGAUGCGCACCAGGUGUCGGGCGGCAGCGCCCGGUACCGGAGCAAACGCGAUGAGUGCGCCGCCUGGGGAGUAUGCCCGCAAGGGUGAAACUCAAAUGAAUUGGCGGGG